GAGGAUAUAGCUCAGUGGUAGAGUGUAUGCUUAGCAUGCACGAGGUCCUUGGUUCAAUCCCUAAUACCUCCA
Molecule: transfer RNA, 72 nt
Filed under: Camelus bactrianus (Bactrian camel)
Lineage: Eukaryota; Metazoa; Chordata; Mammalia; Artiodactyla; Camelidae
Also listed under: 2 other names
Rfam family: tRNA
About the family: Transfer RNA (tRNA) molecules are approximately 80 nucleotides in length. Their secondary structure includes four short double-helical elements and three loops (D, anti-codon, and T loops).
Source: Rfam by way of RNAcentral